This 138-nucleotide ribosomal RNA is filed under the name uncultured bacterium. Its description in RNAcentral is "partial 16S ribosomal RNA". It matches the Rfam family "Bacterial small subunit ribosomal RNA", at positions 355 to 509 of the family's 1533-position model. The record is from RNAcentral.
UGGGGAAUAUUGCACAAUGGGGGAAACCCUGAUGCAGCGACGCCGCGUGAGCGAAGAAGUAUUUCGGUAUGUAAAGCUCUAUCAGCAGGGAAGAAAAAUGACGGUACCUGACUAAGAAGCACCGGCUAAAUACGUGCC